UACGAAGGGGGCUAGCGUUGUUCGGAAUUACUGGGCGUAAAGGGCGCGUAGGCGGUCCUGAUCGUCGGAUGUGAAAGGCCUGGGCUCAACCUGGGAAUGGCAUCCGAUACGGCGGGACUGGAGUGUGGGAGAGGUUGGUGGAAUUCCCAGUGUAGAGGUGAAAUUCGUAGAUAUUGGGAAGAACACCGGUGGCGAAGGCGGCCAACUGGACCACAACUGACGCUGAGGCGCGAAAGCGUGGGGAGCAAACAGGAUUAGAACCUCCGU
RNAcentral lists this ribosomal RNA (267 nucleotides) under uncultured bacterium. RNAcentral's name for it is "partial 16S ribosomal RNA". It matches the Rfam family "Bacterial small subunit ribosomal RNA", at positions 524 to 790 of the family's 1533-position model. The record is from RNAcentral.